This 1086-nucleotide ribosomal RNA is filed under the name Triticum aestivum (bread wheat). RNAcentral describes it as "partial small subunit ribosomal RNA". The record is from RNAcentral. Lineage: Eukaryota; Viridiplantae; Streptophyta; Magnoliopsida; Poales; Poaceae.
AUGGAUGUCAAAUCGGCAUUCUUGAAUGGGGAGCUAGAGGAGGAAGUGUAUGUGUCGCAGCCUCCAGGUUUUUCUAUUAAGGGAGAGGAAGACAAGGCCUGUAAAUUGCACAAAGCUCUCUAUGGUUUGCAUCAAGCCCCUCGUGCAUGGAAUGCCAAGUUGGAUGCCACACUUCAAGUGUUGGGUUUCAAAAAAUGUCCAGCAGAACAUGCAGUCUACAAGAAAGUGCAAGGUAUCUCAAGUCUGAUUGUAGGUGUCUAUGUGGAUGAUCUAAUCAUUACGGGUGGUAGUAAGAAAGAAAUAGAAACAUUCAAGGCACAGAUGAAAAGCAAAUUCAGCAUGAGUGACCUUUGGUUGUUGAGUUACUAUCUUGGGAUAGAGGUGAAUCAAAACUCUGAAGGUAUAACUCUCAGCCAGACUGCAUAUGCACAGAGAAUAUUGGAGAAGUGUGGGAUGAAGGAUUGCAAGUCUGCUCACACUCCUAUGGAGCAUCGACUGAAACUCAGCAAAGUAAGUGAAGCUCCCUUAGUUGAUGCCACAUAUUAUCGCACCAUAGUAGGUAGCCUGCGAUAUCUUGUUCACACACGGCCAGAUAUUUGUCAUGCCGUUGGCAUGGUGAGUCGGGUAAUGGAGAAACCAACCACUGAACAUCUGGCAGCAGUAAAACAUAUUCUCAGGUAUGUUCAAGGGACAUUGAGCAUGGGGUGUGUGUACAAGAAAGGAGCCAAGGUGAAGCUGAUUGGGUAUAGUGACAGUGAUCAUGCCGGAGAUGUGGAUGAUAGGAAAAGCACUACAGGGGUGUUGUUCUAUCUUGGUACAAGUCCAAUCAGCUGGUUUUCUCAGAAACAAAAGAUAGUGGCUUUAUCCUCUUGCGAGGCCGAGUAUGUAGCGGCUACAACAGCCGCCUGUCAGGGAGUUUGGCUAGCAAGAUUGCUCUCAAAUCUGUUGGGGACAGAACCUGAGAAGGUAGUGUUGAGAGUAGACAACAAGUCAGCCAUAGCACUCUGUAAAAACCCAGUUUUUCAUGACAGGAGCAAGCACAUUGACCUGAGAUUUCAUUUUGUCAGAGAAUGUGUGGAGGCUGGG